RNAcentral lists this ribosomal RNA (776 nucleotides) under uncultured Neocallimastigales. Its description in RNAcentral is "partial large subunit ribosomal RNA". It matches the Rfam family "Eukaryotic large subunit ribosomal RNA", at positions 23 to 635 of the family's 3401-position model. The record is from RNAcentral. Lineage: Eukaryota; Fungi; Neocallimastigomycota; Neocallimastigomycetes; Neocallimastigales.
AGAGAGAGACAUGCGCGCAUAUCAAUAAGCGGAGGAAAAGAAACUAACAAGGAUUCCCUUAGUAACGGCGAGUGAAGCGGGAAGAGCUCAAAUUUGAAAUCUUCAAGGUUUUACCUUGACGAAUUGUAGUUUAAAGAAGUGUUUUCUGCUGAAGUUUUGGUAAAAGUUCUUUGGAAUAGGACAUCAUAGAGGGUGAGAAUCCCGUAUUUGACCAUUAUUUUCAGCUUUGUGAUACACUUUCAAAGAGUCGGAUUGUUUGGGAAUGCAGUCCAAAAUGGGUGGUAAAUUUCAUCUAAAGCUAAAUAUUGGCGAGAGACCGAUAGCGAACAAGUACCGUGAGGGAAAGAUGAAAAGAACUUUGAAAAGAGAGUUAAACAGUACGUGAAAUUGUCAAAAGGGAAGCGUUUGACACCAGUGUUGUUUUCUCGAAAAUCAAUUAAAAAUGGCUCGAUUUUGUAUUGCUGAGACCUUAAAAGCUCACUGUACAUUUUUCGUGUCUUUUUUAAUGCACUUUUCGUUUAACAAGUCAACAUCAGUUUCUUUUGUUGUAAAAGGGUCAUUGGAAGGUGGCUUUCUUUUCGGAGAAAGUGUUUAUAGCCUUUGGCCUCUGCAAUCGGAAGAGACUGAGGUCUGCAGCGUAGACUCUUCGGGGUUAGAUACAUUUGUGCUAAGUUAUAGCUUUGUAUAGACAACUUGUUGACUAUGAUUAGUCAUUGUAGCUUACUCGCUGAUGCUAUUUUACCUACGCUUAGGAUGUUGAAGAUGUAGCACAUCAU